AUGGGUUUUAUUCGGGCCCGUGGGAUCGCUGAAAACUUUUUUCAUUCUGCGGACAUUGUCCAAACUUGUUUUAAACGACGCCUCCCCACAAUCGUCAUCAAGCUAGAUUUCCACAAGGCUUUCGACUCUGUGUCUUGGGUCGCCCUUGCCGUGAUCUUACGCGCAAAAGGUUUUCCACCAUCCUGGUGCCAUUGGGUCGACCACCUAAACUCUUCGUCCACCUCGACCGUGUUACUGAACGGCAAGCCAGGCCCUUGGUUCCCGUGUCGGCAAGGCCUGUGGCAGGGUGACCCUUUCUCCCCCUAUCUUUUCAUUAUUGUAGCUGAUGUCCUCAAGCGCCUAAUU
RNAcentral lists this ribosomal RNA (345 nucleotides) under Triticum aestivum (bread wheat). Its description in RNAcentral is "partial small subunit ribosomal RNA". Lineage: Eukaryota; Viridiplantae; Streptophyta; Magnoliopsida; Poales; Poaceae. The record is from RNAcentral.